CUGAGCGGCGGACGGGUGAGUAACGCGUGGGUAACCUGCCUCAUACAGGGGGAUAACAGUUAGAAAUGACUGCUAAUACCGCAUAAGACCACGGUACCGCAUGGUACAGUGGUAAAAACUCCGGUGGUAUGAGAUGGACCCGCGUCUGAUUAGGUAGUUGGUGGGGUAACGGCCUACCAAGCCGACGAUCAGUAGCCGGCCUGAGAGGGUGACCGGCCACAUUGGGACUGAGACACGGCCCAG
RNAcentral lists this ribosomal RNA (243 nucleotides) under uncultured bacterium. RNAcentral describes it as "partial 16S ribosomal RNA". It matches the Rfam family "Bacterial small subunit ribosomal RNA", at positions 91 to 334 of the family's 1533-position model. The record is from RNAcentral.